UACGUAGGGGGCGAGCGUUGUCCGGAUUUACUGGGCGUAAAGCGCGUGUAGGCGGCCGCGUAAGUGGGGUGUGAAAGCCCGGGGCUCAACCCCGGGACGCCGCCCCAUACUGUGUGGCUUGAGGUCGGAAGAGGGGAGUGGAAUUCCUGGUGUAGCGGUGAAAUGCGUAGAGAUCAGGAGGAACACCCGUGGCGAAGGCGGCUCCCUGGUCCGAUUCUGACGCUGAGACGCGAAAGCGCGGGGAGCGAACGGG
This 253-nucleotide ribosomal RNA is filed under the name uncultured bacterium. RNAcentral's name for it is "partial 16S ribosomal RNA". It matches the Rfam family "Bacterial small subunit ribosomal RNA", at positions 524 to 776 of the family's 1533-position model. The record is from RNAcentral.